This 96-nucleotide ribosomal RNA is filed under the name Cercis chuniana. RNAcentral's name for it is "4.5S ribosomal RNA". Lineage: Eukaryota; Viridiplantae; Streptophyta; Magnoliopsida; Fabales; Fabaceae. The record is from RNAcentral.
GAAGGUCACGGCGAGACGAGCCGUUUAUCAUUAACGAUAGGUGUCAAGUGGAAGUGCAGUGAUGUAUGGAUUCCUAACAGACCGGUAGACUUGAAC